This 667-nucleotide ribosomal RNA is filed under the name uncultured archaeon. RNAcentral describes it as "bacterial SSU rRNA". It matches the Rfam family "Archaeal small subunit ribosomal RNA", at positions 4 to 676 of the family's 1478-position model. The record is from RNAcentral.
CCGGUUGAUCCUGCCGGAGGUCACUGCUAUUGGGAUUCGACUAAGCCAUGCGAGUCGAGAGGGUUCGGCCCUCGGCGAACUGCUCAGUAACACGUGGAUAAUUUGCCCUUAGGUGGAGGAUAACCUCGGGAAACUGAGAAUAAUACUCCAUAGAUCUAGGAUGCUGGAAUGCACUUAGAUUAAAAGCCCCGGCGCCUAAGGAUAAGUCUGCGGACUAUCAGGUUGUAGUCAGGGUAAAGACCUGACUAGCCUACAACGGAUACGGGUUGUGAGAGCAAUAACCCGGAGACGAUAUCUGAGACACGAUAUCGGGCCCUACGGGGCGCAGCAGGCGCGAAACCUUCGCACUGUGCGAAAGCGCGAUGAGGGGAUCCCAAGUGCUUGCUCGUAAGAGUAAGCUGUUUUUAUGUCUAAAAAGCAUAGAGAGUAAGGGCUGGGUAAGACGGGUGCCAGCCGCCGCGGUAAUACCUGCAGCUCAAGUGGUGAUCAUUAUUAUUGGGCCUAAAACGUCCGUAGCCGGUUUGGUAAAUGCCUGGGUAAAUCGUGUAGCUUAACUAUACGAAUUCCGGGUAGACUGCCAAACUUGAGACCGGGAGAGGCUAGAGGUACUCCUGGGGUAGAGGUGAAAUUCUGUAAUCCUAGGGGGACCACCAGUGGCGAAGGCGUC